This 88-nucleotide small RNA is filed under the name Salvator merianae (Argentine black and white tegu). RNAcentral describes it as "7SK RNA (ENSSMRG00000020699.1)". It matches the Rfam family "7SK RNA", at positions 13 to 95 of the family's 331-position model. From Rfam's summary of the family: 7SK was discovered as an abundant small nuclear RNA in the mid-70s but a possible function has only recently been suggested. Two independent studies have found that 7SK RNA binds the CDK9/cyclin T complex (known as elongation factor P-TEFb). P-TEFb activates transcription by phosphorylating the C-terminal domain of RNA polymerase II. Lineage: Eukaryota; Metazoa; Chordata; Lepidosauria; Squamata; Teiidae. The record is from Rfam by way of RNAcentral.
GAUCUGGCUGAAAUAUUUGUCACCUCAUUGAUUGCUAGGGUUGAUUUAUUCAGCUUAUCUGGCUGAACUAGAUGGGUGUCUCCUUCCU